Erinaceus europaeus (western European hedgehog) is the source of this 331-nucleotide unclassified non-coding RNA. Its record names the gene 7SK. It matches the Rfam family "7SK RNA". Rfam says of the family: 7SK was discovered as an abundant small nuclear RNA in the mid-70s but a possible function has only recently been suggested. The record is from Ensembl. Lineage: Eukaryota; Metazoa; Chordata; Mammalia; Eulipotyphla; Erinaceidae.
GGAUGUGAGGGCGACCUAGCUGCAAUAUCUGUCACCCCAUUGAUCGCCAGGGUUGAUACGGCUGACCUGGCUGGCUAAGCGCAUGUCGCCUUCCUCCCUCACCACUCCACAUGUGUCCCUCCUGAAGCUGUGCGCUUGGUCGAAGAGGAUGGCCAUCCCUGAAUAGAGACGGACCGGUCUUCGGUUGAGGGUAUACGAGUAGCUGGGCUCACCUGCUGGAACCUCCAAACAAGCCUCAAGAAGCCCCAGGUCAAAUAGGGGUCAGACAAGACUUGUCCCGGGAGUCGGGUGGUAGCGCAGUGGGUUAAGCGCAGGUGGCGCCAAGGAUCCC